AACUCUACAGAACAGAAGUGAAGCUCCAAGAUUUCAACAUUUCUGAAGGGAGAUUCUGACUUAGAAAUACAGGUGACCUGAAGAAGCUCAUGAAAAACAUGAAUAUGCCUUUUUCAGAAUACAUUUCACCAAUUUUAAGAAGUCCCUCACAUCAUAACCUUGUUUCCUUCUAAUGAACCUGGAACUGCAGAGUAAAUAUUGUUGACUCUGUGUCAGAUUGCUUGUUUUGUUCCUGGAUUCUUCAGUGAUGACGAUCAGAGUCUGAGUGAACCUGCUGUCAGACAGGUUGGCCUGAUUGACGAUGCCAUCGUCCAUCGCCGAUGGCUGAUAGACAUCACGAUGCUGCGCUGGCAAACAGCGUCAUCAGCUCCAGUAUCUCGCCCGUGCAUCUGUUGUCAUGCAACAGAGAAGUCACGUUCUAUAGGCAGUUUCUAUAGACAGUUGUGAACGUGCUGACAGCUGGUUGCCCAGGCUAUGGAUUAAAGGUAAUACUGUUGGCCAGCAGAGCCCUUCUCACCCUGACGGCCAACCGCUGCUGUCAGACAACAUCUCCAAGAUGCUAUAAACUGCAGGACCAGAUGGCCAUCCCAAGGUUUCUAGAGAUUACAGCAGCUCCAGACUGAAUCCAAACUCACUUUUGAAGACUUCAGAUGACACCAACGCUCACAAAGACUACAGACGACAACUGUGCAUGAACACACAAAACAUUGGACACACAAAACAAAUAUUAUCCUUAUUUUGCCUAUAAGGGUAAAUUUGAUGAUUUUCAAACUGCUUUAUUGUAAUGUCUCUUAUAUCUGUAAAUGAACAAUAUUUACUCUCUGAGUUAUGUGGACCUACAUGUCCCCUUUUAUUUUUUAAGCAUCACUUUAAAAAUGUUGAAAGAUAAUGUUAAUGUUAACUGAAUACAA
Molecule: long non-coding RNA, 911 nt
Organism: Carassius auratus (goldfish)
Lineage: Eukaryota; Metazoa; Chordata; Actinopteri; Cypriniformes; Cyprinidae
Exons: 5
Source: RefSeq, a predicted model, not a curated record